AACGAACGCUGGCGGCAUGCCUAACACAUGCAAGUCGAACGUGAAGCCGGGGCUUGCUCCGGUGGAAAGUGGCGCACGGGUGAGUAACGCGUGGGUAACGUACCUAUUGGUUGGGGAUAA
Molecule: ribosomal RNA, 120 nt
Filed under: uncultured bacterium
Lineage: Bacteria
Description: partial 16S ribosomal RNA
Rfam family: Bacterial small subunit ribosomal RNA
Source: RNAcentral